GACGAACGCUGGCGGCGUGCUUAACACAUGCAAGUCGAACGGAAAGGCCCUGCUUGCAGGGUACUCGAGUGGCGAACGGGUGAGUAACACGUGGGUGAUCUGCCCUGCACUUCGGGAUAAGCUUUGGAAACUGGGUCUAAUACCGGAUAGGAACCAUCUUUAGUGUGGUGGUUGGAAAGUUUUUUCGGUGUAGGAUGAGCUCGCGGCCUAUCAGCUUGUUGGUGGGGUAAUGGCCUACCAAGGCGGCGACGGGUAGCCGGCCUGAGAGGGUGUACGGCCACAUUGGGACUGAGAUACGGCCGAGACUACUACGGGAGGCAGCAGUGGGGAAUAUUGCACAAUGGGCGCCAGCCUGAUGCAGCGACGCCGCGUGGGGGAUGAAGGCCUUCGGGUUGUAAAAUCCUUUCGCUAGGGACGAAGCUUUGUUGUGACGGUAACUAGAUAAGAAGCACCGGCUAACUACGUG
RNAcentral lists this ribosomal RNA (466 nucleotides) under uncultured bacterium. RNAcentral's name for it is "partial 16S ribosomal RNA". It matches the Rfam family "Bacterial small subunit ribosomal RNA", at positions 28 to 507 of the family's 1533-position model. The record is from RNAcentral.